AUCAAUGUGACUCUUCAAAGGCAACAAUCAAUGUAACUCUUCAAAAGGAAAAUGGUUCACCAUCUCUAACCGUCGCUUUCACUUUCCCCACACAUCCGAAACUCACGACAAUCAACCAUUACCAUUUCCUCUCCAAUGAAUCGGCAAGUGAAGCUUAAAAGUUAUCGAAUCGGCCAGUAAUCUUCUUUGAUAAAGGCUUCAAUCCCUCUGUCUAUGAUAUCGGUUUUGAAGUUCAUGUGGUGGCGCUCAGUUUUUGGUGGAACGCAACCAGGACUCAGAUGGUGAUUGCCAUUCGAACACACAUUAAAGACAGGUCCUGUGGGUGAAUCGGGGAGAAGGGAGAUGGUAGAAGCCCUAGCCGCCGUCGGAUGGUUCCGGUUGAUACAUGUAAUCUUCAUGCCUGUCUUCUUUGAGAAUACGUGUGUGUGUUUUUUCAUAAUUGGCCAGCGAAAAAGGGUCCGUUAGGGACGACAUGGAUCGCGGCGCAUCUCGAGAGGAAGCUUAGGAAAAAUCAGGCUGCUGAUACUGAUAUUGGUGUCUCUGUAGACUUAACUUUGCAGUUCUGAUGUAGUCUUGCAAGCAAUAUUGCUAGAAUGGAUGGCGGGAUCACCGAAAGUCGCAAACAUGUAAAAGACGGUUUUUUCCAGUAUUUUUAGCAUUGUUUGAUGCUCUUCUGAUGCGUUCUCAGGUAGAUGAUUCAACAUAUACUUGUGAGACUGCAACAGGGGACUUGCCGGAUGGCCUUGUGCAGUUUAGGUUGAAUUUAGUCGAGGUUUUGGUCGACAUUUGCCAGCUUUUAAAUUCCGUUGUAUUUUUGCAAAAGGUAUGCACAAAGCCACAAACUUGUAUUAUAUUUUGCAUUAUUAUUCCCCAAGACUAGACCUAGCAAAUGGGUCGGGCCGGGUCAUGGGUCAAAACGGUUUCGGGCCAAAAUGGGUCAAUUAAAAAAGGGGCAGUUUUGGUUUGGGUCAAAACGGGUUUGGGUCGAAACGGGUUCGGAUCAGAACGGGUACAGGUCGGAACGGGUUUUUGGGUCGGGUUGGUUAAAAAUGUUUUUUUAAAGAGAUUGUACAUCAAGGGGCAAUUUUGUUCGGUUCGAAACGGUACGGGUCGAAACGGUACGGGUCGAAAUGGUUCGCGUCUAAACGGUACGCGUUGAAACGGUUCGAUUCGAAAUGGUACGGGUCUAAACGGUUCACCGUUUAACGGUUCGUGUUGAAACGGUACGCGUUGACCAAUGAGAAAUCUUGAUAAUAAAUCUGCACCACUACAAUGUGAUAAGGUUAGAGUCUGUGAUUGGUUUGUGUUAGUAUAUGUAUACAGUUGAUCAAUGUGAUUUGUAACGGCUCCACAGUAGAUAGAUAUUGUUAUGGUAAGUGAUAUUUUAGUUAACAAAUUUCAAUCUAACUUGUGUAAAGAAGAAAUAAUACAAUUUUAUCCUUUUUUUUUGGGAUUUCUGAGCCAUUUUUGUAUUAGUAGACACCGAGUUUUUGCCCAGACAUUUAUCAUCUCAUUAUGUACCAUGACCAGGUAACCAUAUAAUCAGCAAAAACUAUGUUAAAUUCACUGAAUUUAUAGACUAUACUACAAUAAAAAAAAUAACAAAAUACCAGUCUUUCUUUUAGGUUAGCAGGUGAGGACUCAGCGUUUGCGACAAUCAGGAAUCAUCUUCCUUGAUUCAGCCAGCACAUUUUCCUAUUCAAAUAAAUCGUUAGAUUGAAAUUUGUAACACCACUACUAGGCUGCUAUGCAUACUUCAUUUUUUUUAUUAUUGCAGUUUUCGUGUGUUGGACGUUUGCUUUUUUUUUUAGGGUGAAAACUAAUGCUCUCUCACUUUCUCUUUUUAUCCGGUUCUCACAGUUGUCAACAUUGGUUUUGAAAUGAACCCUCUUAUAUGUAUACUUAGUUUAGCAAUUUACUAAUGCUAUUUUAUGAAUUUAUGGUAAUUAUAUGAUUUUUCUCCAACGAAUAGAUUCUGAGGUGACGCAAGAAGUGAACAACCCGCAGCAGCUCCUGCAACGGCAAAGGACGACAGGCCUGCAAAAUCUACUUUCAAGUCUACCGCAGUCAUCACAGACGUUAAUUGGUCAAUACACCAUGACAUAUGUUUUUGGUCAAAAUUCGAACAUGAAGAACCUUCAAAAUAUGUCUGGUGCUGUUGGUGACCUCACAAAGGAAUCUGAUAAUUGGAGGGCUCAACUGCAAGCAGAUGCACGUGAAAGGAGCGUG
Molecule: long non-coding RNA, 2229 nt
Organism: Helianthus annuus (common sunflower)
Lineage: Eukaryota; Viridiplantae; Streptophyta; Magnoliopsida; Asterales; Asteraceae
Exons: 5
Source: RefSeq, a predicted model, not a curated record